AUUGAACGCUGGCGGCAGGCCUAACACGUGCAAGUCGAGCGGAUGAAGGGAGCUUGCUCCUGGAUUCAGCGGCGGACGGGUGAGUGAUGCCUAGGAAUCUGCCUGGUAGUGGGGGAUAACGUCCGGAAACGGGCGCUAAUACCGCAUACGUCCUGAGGGAGAAAGUGGGGGAUCUUCGGACCUCACGCUAUCAGAUGAGCCUAGGUCGGAUUAGCUAGUUGGUGGGGUAAAGGCCUACCAAGGCGACGAUCCGUAACUGGUCUGAGAGGAUGAUCAGUCACACUGGAACUGAGACACGGUCCAGACUCCUACGGGAGGCAGCAGUGGGGAAUAUUGGACAAUGGGCGAAAGCCUGAUCCAGCCAUGCCGCGUGUGUGAAGAAGGUCUUCGGAUUGUAAAGCACUUUAAGUUGGGAGGAAGGGCAGUAAGUUAAUACCUUGCUGUUUUGACGUUACCAACAGAAUAAGCACCGGCUAACUUCGUG
Molecule: ribosomal RNA, 484 nt
Filed under: uncultured bacterium
Lineage: Bacteria
Description: partial 16S ribosomal RNA
Rfam family: Bacterial small subunit ribosomal RNA
Source: RNAcentral